GAACACAUCUUUGCUGCCGUCAGCCGGAGUAAUGAAGCCAAAACCUUUGGAUUCGUUGAACCACUUAACUUGACCUUUAAUCUUU
RNAcentral lists this transfer RNA (85 nucleotides) under Salmonella sp. FORC89. RNAcentral's name for it is "tRNA-Tyr". The record is from RNAcentral. Lineage: Bacteria; Pseudomonadati; Pseudomonadota; Gammaproteobacteria; Enterobacterales; Enterobacteriaceae.